Molecule: small RNA, 165 nt
Filed under: Chelonoidis abingdonii (Abingdon island giant tortoise)
Lineage: Eukaryota; Metazoa; Chordata; Testudines; Testudinidae
Description: TUC338 (ENSCABG00000021257.1)
Source: RNAcentral
UUGACAGCUAUGGAGAUGGAAGUCUUCUGUUUAUCCUCAGAAGAGGUACAGCACAGACAAUAACAGUAACUUUCUUCCCAUCAUACCCUGCCAAAUUUCCUCAAUUCCGUCCUUUAGGGGUAAGAGGAUAGUUAAAUCUUCUUGCCCACUCCAAUGUUGGCUCCC